AUGGAGGCCCCACCCGCGCCCGGCGUCGGGGCCCAAACCCUCGCGCUCGCCGUGGCCGCGGCCGCGGCCUGCAGCGUGGAGGACAAGGGGGCCAAGCGCGCGCGCAAGCGGAGCAGGUACCUCGACGACUACGAAAUCCCCACCAUCCUCAACGCCCUCCACGGCGACGGCGACGACGACUGCAUCGUCGCCCCGCCUCCACCUCCCGCUCCAAGAAAGGGGGCGGCGAGCGAGGGCCCGGCGCUGCUCCUCCGGCUCCAGGCGCCCGACCUGCUCGCCGCGCUCCACCGCUGCGCCGCAUCUCCCUACGACGACGAGCCGCUCGAGGGCGUCGACGCCGGCGCGCUCCUCGCCUUCUUCGCCCUCCACAGGGAAGCCUCCGCCUCCGUCUCCGUGCCCGCCACCCACCGCGCCGGCAAGGACACUGCCCUGGUUACCACGGGUCAGCAUCGCUCUAAUGAUGCUCCUGCCGCCGCUCGCCCGAAUCCAUGCCAGGCCAUGGCCUUCGGGGGCGGAUCUGCCGGCAACCAACAGGCCGGUGGCAUUGCCAUUGGCCACGCCGCGUAUGCGCAAGCCCACCACCACAUUGGAGCUGGACCAUCAAAUGCAGAUGCAGCCGCACUAGGGGGGCCUGGACCCAGCAAGAGGAGGAACAAGAAGAAGGUAACAUUCGCACUGGGAGCGCCUGGUGCCUCCGGCGCCGGUUGCCCCGCCCAACCCGGUGCUGCUACCCACAGCAGCAUCAUCGGCAGCGCCGGUUCCACGCCCAACAAGCCGGCCAAGAACAAGAAAGCUGUCAACGGGCAGCAGCAUUUCAGCAAGCCGGUGGCCCUCAUCCUGCAAUUCGCCCCGGGCACCGCCGCCGAUCAGCUCCCUUCCAAGGAGCAGCUCCACUCCACACUCCGCGGCUUCGGCCCCCUGAUCGAGCCCAGCACCGAGAUCACCAAGAAGCAGGCGCGCGUCGUGUUCCAGAGCAGCGCCGCGGCCGAGGCUGCCUACAGCUGCGUGCACACGCUCGGCACCUUCGCCGCGGCGCGGCUGCAGUACCUGCGCCCGCCGCCGCCCCCUCCAAAGAUCCCGCUGACGGACGUCCGGAAGAACCUCGAGAGGAUGAUCGCGUCCCUCACCGGCCCCUCUCUGCUCGGCAAGGAGGACAGCGCGUGGAGCCUCGCCGGAGAGAUGCAGCACCUUCUGGUCAAGGUCGACAGGGUGCUGAAUGCCGGCGGGGCAGGGCCUUCCACCUCAGUUGCUGCUCAUCACCAUUGA
RNAcentral lists this ribosomal RNA (1266 nucleotides) under Triticum aestivum (bread wheat). RNAcentral describes it as "partial small subunit ribosomal RNA". Lineage: Eukaryota; Viridiplantae; Streptophyta; Magnoliopsida; Poales; Poaceae. The record is from RNAcentral.